RNAcentral lists this ribosomal RNA (303 nucleotides) under uncultured bacterium. RNAcentral's name for it is "partial 16S ribosomal RNA". It matches the Rfam family "Bacterial small subunit ribosomal RNA", at positions 507 to 807 of the family's 1533-position model. The record is from RNAcentral.
AGCAGUAGCCGCGGUAAUACGAGGGGGGCAAGCGUUGUUCGGAAUUAUUGGGCGUAAAGGGUGCGUAGGCGGUUUGACAAGUCAUCUGUGAAAUCUAUGGGCUCAACCCAUAGUCUGCAGGCGAAACUGUCGGGCUUGAGUAUUGGAGAGGUGAGUGGAAUUUCCGGUGUAGCGGUGAAAUGCGUAGAUAUCGGAAGGAACACCUGUGGCGAAAGCGGCUCACUGGACAAUAACUGACGCUGAUGCACGAAAGCUAGGGGAGCAAACAGGAUUAGAUACCCGCGUAGUCCCUGUCUCUUAUAC